CCUGGCGGCACUAGCGCGGUGGUCCCACCUGACCCCAUGCCGAACUCAGAAGUGAAACGCCGUAGCGCCGAUGGUAGUGUGGGGUCUCCCCAUGUGAUAGUAGGGAACUGCCAGGC
Molecule: ribosomal RNA, 116 nt
Filed under: Klebsiella pneumoniae
Lineage: Bacteria; Pseudomonadati; Pseudomonadota; Gammaproteobacteria; Enterobacterales; Enterobacteriaceae
Source: RNAcentral